CUUCACUGACCCCAGCCAAAGCGGCUGGUCCGCCGGCCGGCCCUGGCCGUACGUGGCGAUCAGUGCCUGCGCCUC
Molecule: antisense RNA, 75 nt
Filed under: Streptomyces yokosukanensis
Lineage: Bacteria; Bacillati; Actinomycetota; Actinomycetes; Kitasatosporales; Streptomycetaceae
Description: ASpks TB sRNA
Rfam family: ASpks TB sRNA
Source: Rfam by way of RNAcentral